AGUGAACGCUGGCGGUAGGCCUAACACAUGCAAGUCGAACGGCAGCACAGUAAGAGCUUGCUCUUACGGGUGGCGAGUGGCGGACGGGUGAGGAAUACAUCGGCAUCUACUUUUUCGUGGGGGAUAACGUAGGGAAACUUACGCUAAUACCGCAUACGACCUACGGGUGAAAGCAGGGGAUCUUCGGACCUUGCGCGAUUGAAUGAGCCGAUGUCGGAUUAGCUAGUUGGCGGGGUAAAGGCCCACCAAGGCGACGACCCGUAGCUGGUCUGAGAGGAUGAUCAGCCACACUGGAACUGAGACACGGUCCAGACUCCUACGGGAGGCAGCAGUGGGGAAUAUUGGACAAUGGGCGCAAGCCUGAUCCAGCCAUACCGCGUGGGUGAAGAAGGCCUUCGGGUUGUAAAGCCCUUUUGUUGGGAAAGAAAAGCAGCAGGUUAAUACCCCGCUGUUCUGACGGUACCCAAAGAAUAAGCACCGGCUAACUUCGUG
Molecule: ribosomal RNA, 492 nt
Filed under: uncultured bacterium
Lineage: Bacteria
Description: partial 16S ribosomal RNA
Rfam family: Bacterial small subunit ribosomal RNA
Source: RNAcentral